CAUAAACUCUCAAACAAGCCAUGAAAUGGAGUUUAGAAGUACUACAACCUUAGAGGGGAAUUGUUUCAAGGCUAUACAAGAGUUUAAGGUACCAUAUUGACUCCUAAGGGGAGUUUACGGCCCAAAGACCCUUUUCCCUUGGAGUUUACGGCCGUAAACUCCCUUGGGAGGGUUCUUAUUGUCCUUUCAAGUCUCUAACAUUUCUAGGAACAAGUCUAGGCUUCAAUACUUGGAUUAAGGAAGGUUUAAGGCACUAAAUGGGACCAUUUGAUGGAUUUUACGGCCAUAGAACUCUUUGGGCCGUAAACUCCCUCACACAUGAGGUCCUAAGAAUUUUAACUAGUCCACAUCACAUCUAGGUACUUGCCCUAAAAGUUUCUUGGCCUAAGGAAGUGUCUAUGGUGUCCUUUAGUAAACUCCCUCACACAUGAGGUCCUAAGAAUUUUAACUAGUCCACAUCACAUCUAGGUACUUGCCCUAAAAGUUUCUUGGCCUAAGGAAGUGUCUAUGGUGUCCUUUAACCCCAUUAAAGGAGUUUACGGCCCAAGAAAUACUCUUGGCCGUAAACUCUCCAACACUUUAGCUUUUCAUGAUUUUUCUAGGUCCUAAACCCAUCAAGGUGCUUGCUAAAAAUGAAGACUAAGCCUUAGGAAGAGUUUGAAGUGGUUUUUGGCACUAAAACUUGGAGUUUACGGCCCAAGGAGUUUCUUGGCCGUAAACUCCCUUAUAGAAAUGAUUUCUAAGGGUUUUGAUGGCAUAAAUCAUGAGUUUAAAGCUUCUAGGUUUUUGUUCUAAGGCUAGGGAUCACAAGGCACUCAUUUGUGCCCUUUACUUGGAGUUUACGGCCCAAGAGGUGGUUCCUUGGCCGUAAACUCCUCAAACUACUUGCUUUUGAUUUGUUUCUAGCCUCUAAUGAUCAUACACUAAGUCCUUAGUUAGAUGCCUAACACGGAAAUGGGACUAUGUGGCCUUUAGGCUUGAUUUUGGAGUUUACUCCCCAAGAACGUUCUUGGGCGGUAAACUCCCGGAUCUUGUGUUUUGGACAUGUAAACAAUGUUAUAAGGCAUAUAACAAGUAUUAAAACACAUUUAGGGAAGUAGACUCACAAUCUGGGAUGAAACCCGAAGAUCCGUGAGAGAGAAAUUGACUUUUCUCUAUUUGGAAUUCAACUAAUGAACCAAUUUGGUUCAGAAAUCUAUUUAUAGUCCUGAGAUUUUUGGUAGAAAAUAUUUCUAUUCUCGAAAUGGAUUCUAAUGGCCUAGAGUAAUGGAAUUUCAGUGUUGCACAAAAUCCUAGUGCACCCACUCUCCUAAUAACUCCUUAGGUGUAAAACCCUAAAAUUGCCAAACUUAUUCCAAAAGUUUGAAUUUUCACUGAAACUGUUCUACUUCCAUUGGAUUGAUGUGGUUUGAUUUGAAUGGGAAAUUUCGGGUUGUCACAUCAUCCCCCUGUUAAAGGGAAUUUCGUCCCAAAAUUAGAAUUUAGGCAAAGAAGUAUGCACGAAUGAUCGAGACGUGAGGAGGAAACUUCCUAAUCGUUUGGUUCUAGCGCACUUAAGUGAAAUCGGGCUCUCGGUUGGUAUCCCAACGAACCUUCACUAAUUGGCGACGACAUUGCUUCGUCCACUUGACCUCUCGGUCGAGGGUCACUACGGUUCUAAUACGAAGGCGAGGAUCUCGACGUGUGGACUUGUAAGAGUCCAAACGGAAAGAUAUGGAUUUACGAUUGAAAUGCGAAGAGUAGAAAGUAUGUUACUGAGAUCGCGAAGUAGGUCUAGUUUGUGCGAGGCACAGGACAGAUUCUGAUAAGAAUCUCGGAGGCCCUGCCAAACUUGGAUUUAGCUUUUCACGCUUUACGAAGCGUAUUAAGCCAUUCUCAGAGUGAUUUAUCCUAAAGAACUUGGUCACUCACUCGGAAUCUCGAAGGUUCCUUUUCCUGAGUAACUUCCCAGUCCAAGGCCACCCCUUGCUGGGUCGAAUUCGUACAAGUUUCUGUAGCUUGCGAGGAGUCCUGAAUGAACUAAGGCGGUAGGUCGGUAAGACCUAGAAUUUGGCGAAAAACUGUCGGCGUCUCUGGUGUCGAUAGAUGCUCAAUGGUUUUGGCAAAUUGAAAGAGUACUCAAAAUUUCCCACAUUACUAACAGUGUGUCCUAGAAAUUUGACUCUUCAAUUUCCAAAUCUCGUGCCUAGAGAACUUUGCUAAAAGUUCCUCUGUAGGAAAUAUUUUCAUGGGUUUUCUUCUUACUACGAGGGUAGACAAGUAAUUCAUUUCAUGGAGAAAUGACGAAUCGAUCCAAGUAAGAAAGACGUAACCCUAAACAUUUAUCUCAUGAAAACCAUGGGCGUAUUGGUCCUAUCCGAAAGGUAUCACUACGGACUCGAGGCGUCCGCAUCGAAUUCGGAAGAUAGUCUCCCAGACAUCCUUCCCUAACACAUCGAACGGGUGAUAUUCGGAUCUUAGGUCCAUUCCUGGAAGUAUUUCUUUCCUUACGUGUGCUCAACCAUUUUGUCUAUGUGAGGCAGAGAUAACGAUUUCUAUAAAAAUCUUGACGGAUUCCUCGAUAACCGAGGCACAUACGAUGCGAUCCAUCGAUCUCUGGAAGAAUCUGACCGGGGUUCUCUAGGGUGAGAAACCUAGUCUUCUAAUUCUAUUUCUGUGUUGUUCGCCAUGUUGUUCGUAUUGUUCUUGCAUCUCCAUGGGUGUUUAAACUAUAGGGUGAUCUGUUUUCGGGAGUCGUACUGGGUUCUAAGUUUGUUCACAUGACGAUGUGAUUAGUCGUAUACUUCGGCAGUUUCUCUGUCCUGAAGUCCAUUUUAGAAUUCAUACAGGGCUUCACAAUCACAAUUUCGUGUAUACGAGUAGUAUAUAAUUAAGACUGAAAAGGUAGUCGAAUAACUGAUUCUUCCUUACCCUCACAUCCCAAGGAGGAAAAGAGUUAAGGCGGAAUCAUCAAUUCUAAACCUGUAGAACCUUGAUUAUAUAACACUCUUAUGUAUACCUUCCUCAGUGAUAGAUCAUCCGUAUGAAUCCCUGGAUUGAACUUGACGUACUGCACGAGUGGUACUUCGGGGAUUUCUUCGGAAAGAAAAUAACUAAGAGGUACUCCUGGAAUGAGUACUUCUGCGUUCCGAUAUGACGGCUUCGCUGGAAAAGUGAUCUAAAAGAUAGGGACAUACGUAUGAAGCUGUUUUCGCGUCGAUAAAAUGGAAUCUGAUUGUAUGAUAAUGUCGGAAUCAUACAGAAAUUUUAAAGACAUUUGAAUUAAACAUAAGACGUUUACAGAUAAAACACAACCGUGCAACCAUGAACAAGAGUUACAGUACUUUAGAUUUACCACAAGACUAUUGCUGCGAAUAAGAUAUACUACAAAAGGCAAGUAUACGCAGCACGAGAAUUCCUAUACAGACAGGGUCUCGCAAAAGGUAAGACUCUAGUUGCACUAGCUUUAAACAGUUUGAACGCAUACUUAAAUACUGCCAAAAGGGAGUGAACCUAUGCUAUAGCAAGGUUUGGGGUUUAAACCCCUCCUGUUCCCCCGUUGCUCUUCACUGAUGGGCAGUCCCUCUUGAGGUGUCCCAUUACACCACAUAUAUGGCAUAUUUGAGAAGUUCUGACAUUUGUGGUUGAAGUAAUGUGUUGGACCAGAAUAUUGCAGUAGCGGAUGGUGUGUCCCUUCUUGUUGCAGUUUAAGCACUGCAUUUCCCAAUAGAGCCCAUAGUGGUGAUAAUUGCAUUUGAUGCAUUUUGGGAGUUUGCCAACGUAAGGUCUGACUGGAUUAACAGGGAUACCAGAAAGAAUGGCAGUGGGGAGUACAGACGUCGUGGCUGUGAAGGUUGCCACUGGUUGUUGUCUUUUGCUCGCUCCCUGAGGUGACUUUCCUUUAACUCCACCCCUGAACUUUCGUUUGCUAUUCUUAGGCUUACGAUUCGGAGUGUUGUGGUAGUUCGUUGUUCAUGGAUGUACUUGGUUGUCAAUUUGAUUGGAUUCGUUGAUACCCAUUCCACUAACAUUUGCAUUGUUAGCGUUUAGGUGGGUCAGAAAAGCUGCUACGAUAGUUAAAACUGCGACUAGGAAGGAAGCUGCAUCAAUAUAAAGGGUAGGGAAUUCAUUGUUCCAGUGACUAUUUCCGGAUGGAGGCAUGAUUUCUGCAAUACGAAAGAGUAAAGAUUUGUGAGCGAUUCUGGUUGACCCUGAUGUACUUAGAUUGUUCAUGAAAAGAGUACGUGUAUGAUCUCGAAAGUUUGACCUACAUCCCUAUGAUGCAGUCCCGGUACUGAAUGGAAGUAUGUUCGUAGAAUGGUCUCAAAACGUUUGUCGUUCGAACUGAGGUAUCGUGGGUUGGUCAAUGAUCCAACCACUGAAAGAGACUUGGAAGUGUCCCUUGGAAUAAAUCACCAUAGUCCAAUGACUUGACUAAAGUAUGAUUCAGAUAGACUCCAAUGAAGGUAAGAUAAUAGUACUUGAAUGAAGAAUGACGCAUAAGUUAGCCGGCUGUCAAUAUCUUUGAUAUUCACGAUGUAAAGAUUCGGGAAAAUGACAUUUUAAAGGUCUUACAUCAUAUUCACAGAAGAUAGUUCCUGACAGCAUAAAGACCUAACUAAAGUACUUACGGAACAAGAUAAUUUCAUAGAAAUUAUCACAUCGGGCAUAGACAGAAAAACACGAUUUCUUUUUAUAAGGGGAAUAAAGUAAAGCGUCUACUAUGGGCGACGGUCAUCCCUCUGGUGAACUCUUAGUUCAACCAAUUGACGUUCCAUGUCAAGUAGGUGUCUUUCGUACACCAUCUGGCGUACUCGGAGCUCUAUGACUUCGGCUCGUGAUUCAGCCAGUGCUUGCAGCAGGGUUUCAUGGUUUCUCUCUGAUCUCUCGUGAACAUCCUCUAGAUGAAUGGUGUGGAGGGUAUGCAUUCUAGCAUAGGCGACUAUUUCUGAAAUCUGACGUAGGGCAGUCCUGUCUUGAAUCUCAAUUCAGGCCACUAUGCGGGCCAAGAUUGGCAAGACUAUAUCUGUUAAGCAAUCAUUGCUCACGUCAUAAAAGCUUCGGUCGCCAUCAAAUGGCAUAUACUGAUCUUGUCCGUGGCUCCCUGUUUCCAAGCAUUCCACUCACUCAGGGUCGGGCCAUGAAAAGCCGGACGAGGGUUAGGAAUUGGAAAGGGAGCUGCUCGGGGUAGGUUCUCAACCUCUGGUUCGGAGUUAGCAUCAUACGAAAAGUCUUCAUCAUGGUGAUCAUUCAAGGGGAUAGGAUGAUCAUUCUCUGGUUCUUCUCCAAACCAACCAGCUAUGACUUCAUUCGGAAGAUACUGGUUGCCGAGGGGAUGGAGUCCAGCUAUGUUUUCUAUGCGAGAAUUUAGGGUAAGAGAAUAAUUAUUAGACGAACUAUCUAGAUAAUUAUUUAGAAAACCUUCAUUAGUUACAUCGCUAUUUCUGAAGUGCAUACCAGCUAUGUGUAAUCUAAACAGGAUAGACCUUCGAAUAAGUGACCUUAACUCCUUAUUCACACAGAAUAGGGGUAAGGCAAAAUUAUCACAGAUUCUGAGUCUAUAACAUCCUAAUUACAUGUAGCCUCAGUGUAUCCACUUAGCAACUAUCAACUUAGUAAUGAAGAUCCCGUUUUAAUUCUCAAGUAAAAAGUACUUAUAGUAACACCAAAAUACACCUAUAGUAUUUUAAAUUUAUUGUUAUGUUCUAUUGUUCUCAUUGUGGUAGGGUAGUUAAGAUUUUAGCAUUGUUGCAACCACACACAUAAACUUUAGGCACUGCUAGUCAACCCUCGGAUAAUAUAGGCGAUCAGGCUAUAUCUUCCCAGUUUUGACCAUAUGUCUCUAAGCCCACUUGUGUUGCCCAACAAUCGUAAUUCUUUUGUACUGUCCUAGUGACACUGAUUUUAGUAUGAAUGCAGCACGUAUACUUACUUAAAUAUUUUACUAUUUAAAGUAUAAACUCUUGGUCAGAGUAUUUUUAAUCCCUUAUGUAUUUAUAGUUAGUAUAUCUUUUAUGGGUUGAUAUACUUAAUUCACUAUAAACAAUGCUCUGAUACCAAUCUGUCACACCCCAAAACCAAGAACGGCGGAAACGUUCUGGGGCGGAGGACGUCAUGUAUAAUAUCAACAACAAUGUAAAGUAGUAAACAAGCAACAACAUCAUCCAUUGCAUUAAUAAAAUAAUUAUUAUACAAUUGUAUUCUGUCAAAUUUUGAUAAACACUAAAGCAUAAAUCAAAAUGAAAGAUAAGUCUUGAAUAAGCUCCAUCUUCCUUUCUCCUUGCAUCGGUACCUGUCUAUGAUGACCUGAGGAUACAAGUAAUUUUGAAAGCGAGUAUCAGCUAUAAAGCUGGUGAGAUCAUAAGUAUUAAUGUGUCUUAAUUUGUAUGUAAGAAUUUGUAAUUGUAAGUAUUGUAAGAAUUUGUAAGUGUAAAUGUAUAUGAAUUGUAAUCGUUUGAAAAACCCUAGAAUCCCUAUGAUUCCUUCUAGUAUGUGAAGGUGUCUUCUACCAAGACCUAAUUGUUCUGUGUGUGUGUCUCUUGUAUGAGUAUGUGUUUUUCCAAAGUAUAACUAUCAUUAUCCAAAAAUAUAGUUUGUACAUUUAUGUUUAAGUGAGGUUAUCACUAAAAAUAUGUACUGGAAAAAUUAACGUAGUACUAAACGUAGCUCUAAUAGGACUACUACCGUACUAACUACCUCAGGCCGGAUUUUGGGCAAAGGCACUAUGUGAUAAAUUGCGCCAUACUAUCGACUAGUAACAACGACAUAAUGAAUGGUCGUAAUAAAGAAAUGACGUUUGGCACCCGCAGACCUGCAGGUCCGGCUGUAGCUAGCAGCAAGGUGUAGGAUUGUCAAUCCAGCAUAGAUCUAUACACAAACUCAUACUAUGGACUGGUUCAUCGACAUAAGAAUGGUCGAAAUAAGGUAUGACGUUUGGCACCCGCAGACCUGCAGGUCCAGCUGUAGCUAGCAGCAAGGCGUAGGAUAGUCAAUCCUUUAUAGAAUCUAUACGCAAACUCAACGCUCCCCCUUCUAGAGACUCUGGCCGCAACUCAAGUCAUGAGGUUUUAAGUCAUGCUCCGAUUUAAAUCACACUAUCGACGUAUUCUCGUAUUUGUAAACGUAAUGUACUGUUCUAGCUAUAAUGCAAUGGACUGUUCUACCAAGUAUAGCAACGUAAUGAGCUGUAAUGUUCUAUGUGUGCUAGCUGUAAUGUGUGUUCUUUCUAUCUAGCAAGUAUAGUAGUGUAAGCAUUCUAGUAUAGUUGUAUAUGUUCUCGCCCUAGUAUAGAUGUAUAUGUAAUGUACAAUAAUGUUCUAGAAAGUAUUGACUCAUGAAUGAACUGACUCAUUGUAUGAUAUCGCGUUCUAGUAAUGGUUCUAGUAUCUUCCUGAACUACCCAUAUGGUAGCUUACUAGUAAUCUAAGUGGUACGUAUGGACGUGGAUGUAUACCCUUGCUACCCAAGGGCAUAGGAUGAAUUGGAAGGACCUUUUAUGACUUUAUAUGUACACAUGAUAUAUAACUAAUAUUUAAACGACCUUCGGACGAGUAUCCGAUAUCCCACCAGACCACAUCUCAAGCGCGAAAAGGAAAUAGGGUGGAUAGCCUUCCUAAGUCUUUUAAACAUUUCUUAUAUAACUAUACAUAUAGAGGCAUGCAAUUUAUAAUAUCAAAGCAUAAAUAAGUUUAACAACAUUUGAAGUAUAAAUAUUAGUCUAAGGAAAGAUCGACUUGAUGUCAAUCUAUAAAACAAUUUGAAGGCAUAAGUCUGAAAAAACGAUAUAAGUACAAGGAACAUUUGUUUGAAAACACAGUAUAUGUACAAGGAACAUUUGUUUGAAAACACAGUUGUAAAUAAGUUUGAAAAAUGAUGACAGUGUAAGAAUUACAGUGUAAUAAGUAGUUUAAAUCAUAUUAAAUGUUUAUAAAAACCAUUUGAAGGAAAACUAUUUGUUAAAACGGCUAGUGAGUAGCCAAAUCUUUUGAAUGUUGUAUAUUAAUCACAUGUGAUUGAUGUAAUAAGUAAUAUAAUCCUACUUACUAGUCACAUGUGAUUGACAUAAUAAGUAGCGUGAUUCUACUUGUAUCCCCCCAUAAAACAUUUAAAAUAGUUUAAAACAUUAGUUAAGGGGUAUGAACUCACCUGCAGUAUGAGACUGGAAAUGAACGGGCUGUUAUCGUACGGAAGGAUCGGACAAGUGCUUGGUGUCAAGUGAUGACUUAGACACACACAAUGAUCCUAAUUACAUAUGAAGACAUAUGUAUAUAAAUAAUUAGAGAUUUAAUCACUAACUGUACAAGUAUAAACAUUUACGCGCGAGGUCAACACUUUUGGUCAAGUNAAUAACAUUUAAGCGCGAGGACAACACUUUUGGUCAAGUGCUAGGAGGCUAAUGGGUUGCAACAAAGAAGUGCAAUGCCCCUAAUGAAAGUUUAAGGUCAAAAGACCAUAUUCAUUGGAGUUUACGGCCCAGGGGAGUAAGCUCCUGGCCGUAAACUCUCAAACAAGGCUUGGAAUGGUACUUUGAAUUACUACAACUCUAGUGGGAAUUGUUUCAAGGCCUAUACAAGUGUUUGGGCACCACAUUGACUCCUUCGUGGAGUUUACGGCCCAAAGACCCUUCUCCCUUGGAGUUUACGGCCGUAAACUCCCUUGGGAGGGUUCUUAUUGUCCUUUCAAGUCUCUAACAUUUCUAGGAACAAGUCUAGGCUUCAAUACUUGGAUCAAGGGAGGUUUAUGGCAUUAAAUGGAACCAUUUGAUGGAGUUUACG
This 8753-nucleotide long non-coding RNA is filed under the name Lactuca sativa (garden lettuce). Its description in RNAcentral is "long non-coding RNA (LSAT_LNC004358)". The record is from RNAcentral. Lineage: Eukaryota; Viridiplantae; Streptophyta; Magnoliopsida; Asterales; Asteraceae.